UUAUGGCUCAGGAUGAACGCUGGCGGCGUGCCUAACACAUGCAAGUCGAACGAAGCACUUCUGGUUGGAGAUUCGUCGAAGACCGGAUUGACUUAGUGGCGGACGGGUGAGUAAUGUAUGAGCAACCUGCCUUUCAGAGGGGGACAACAGUUGGAAACGACUGCUAAUACCGCAUAAUGUAUUUGGGUGGCAUCACCUGGAUACCAAAGGAGCAAUCCGCUGAAAGAUGGGCUCAUAUCUGAUUAGUUAGUUGGCAGGGUAACGGCCUACCAAGACUGCGAUCAGUAGCCGGACUGAGAGGUUGAACGGCCACAUUGGGACUGAGAUACGGCCCAGACUCCUACGGGAGGCAGCAGUGGGGAAUAUUGGGCAAUGGGCGAAAGCCUCGGCCCAGCAACGCCGCGUGAAGGAAGAAGGUCUUCGGAUUGUAAACUUCUUUUAUGAGGGACGAAGGACGUGACGGUACCUCAUGAAUAAGCCACGGCUAACUACGUGCCAGCCGCUGC
Molecule: ribosomal RNA, 506 nt
Filed under: uncultured bacterium
Lineage: Bacteria
Description: bacterial SSU rRNA
Rfam family: Bacterial small subunit ribosomal RNA
Source: RNAcentral